Molecule: long non-coding RNA, 2403 nt
Organism: Betta splendens (Siamese fighting fish)
Lineage: Eukaryota; Metazoa; Chordata; Actinopteri; Anabantiformes; Osphronemidae
Product: extensin-like
Source: Ensembl
AUGAAGCGGGGCACGCUGAAUUUCUUGGGUCGAAAGGAGCAGUCUCUUUACGCCAAUAAUGUCAAAAUCAAGGACGUGGACCAUGUGCCGUGGGUGCUGGACACGCCGGUGAUCCCGGACUCGGGGACGGCCAGCGUGCGGGCCCGGCCCACCGUCAAGCAUCAUGCAUCCUCGGACACCUUUCAGGGCUUCGCUGUCCCGACGCCCAAAGUCCCCCUUCUCCCACCCGUCAGCGCGCCGAAGGUCAACGGCUCAGUCGGUGGGGCUCAUUGGUCCAAUGGAUCAGUGUCUGUGCCUGACACGGUGGAGGGGGACAUAUUUAUUCCUCCUCCUCCCUCCACGGCACCUCCACCCCCCCCAGAGGCUUUUAUCCUUCCUCCGCCAGACUUCAUGGGAGACCUGAACGCCAAAGCAGACCUGGGAACACCCCCGAUUCCUUCCGUACCCGCCCCAAAGCCCGCAGCCCUGCCUCCAUCCAUGGAGACGGAUCUAGCUUCCCUACAGCCCCCGACAAUGGCCCCACCGAAGCCUCCAUCUGCCAGCUCAGCCGCGCCCAUUUCCUCCUCGGCCCAAGCUGCAGUUCCUGACCACCCCAAAUUUGCCCCACCGCAGCCACCCGAAAAGCAACUAAGGACUCACAAGACCCCGCCUCCGAAGCCCAUUAGAAUGUCCUCCAUCCCCAUCCUUGACUCCCCACCACAUACCCCUGCACCAACUCCUCCUGCGCAGACGCCCGCAGUCUCCAGCUUUAAUCCACAGAACAAACCCAAAGUUUAUAACGCCCCUCCGCCCUCGUUUUUUAAAGCGUAUGAGGAGACUGACACAAAACCCAAGAAGAUGCUACUUCUGGAGGACUCUGGGUCUGUUAAUACUCCCCCAGUGCUUGUCCCGGUGGAUGGGAAAGUCCCUAAAGUAGCUGCACCACCGAAUCCAGUUUCCAAAGAUGUGGCGGAGCUGAAGGAGAACUUACAAAUUCCUCAGCCCUCUCAAACACCUCCGUCUAAGCCGAACAAGGAGCCCACAGUGGCGACAGUUUCAGCACAGCAGGAAGCUGUCAAACCGCUGCCGACUGUGCCGCAGAAAACAGUGAUCCAGGAGGUGAGCAGCAAGAGUUUAGAGCCCAGCAGGGACAGGUUGGAAGCACCUCAGAGCAAAAGGCGCGACAUCAGUCCGUUAUUGGAUCGCAAACUGCACAACCUGAAGGCCAGUGAGACCAACAGGCUGCGAGAGGGACACGCGGCGUCCCCACUGGCUCUUUUAAUGGCAGCUAAAGAAAGGGAGAAACAGAAACUGAAACACACGGCGCCGAAGGAAAACGCUGCCAAAGACCUCGAGCAGCAGAGCGCCAACAUUCAGCCCAGCAAUUCCAGCCCCAACUCCUUCGUUGUCACCCCAAAGUCCAGCUCGGCCUCCUCUCCUACAGCCCAAGAAAGAACGCAGGAGAGCUCGACGUCGGCCGGCCGUGUAGAACAAACACCACCAGUUCAGACGUCUACGUUAUCUUCUCCGCAGAUCAGAAGUCAGGCCGUGUCCACCACACCAGCUGCUGGGCUUCUGAAGGCAACCAACCCAGUGGAGGGCCAGAGCCCCUUGAAGUCUCCACUGGCAAGACCUACGGACCCCAGUGAGGGGCUGAGCCUCCCGUUCCUCCCUCCUCCACCGGAGUUUGGGGAUUUAGAUGACUUUAUGCAGCCGCCGCCUGCUGUUCGUCCACCGGACCCCCCCGUAAAAAAGCCAACGCCACCAGUGAGCGUUCCUCCUCCAGCUCCAGUUACAAAAGCACCUGAGCGUGUUUCUCCUCCAGCACCACCUGCCAUUGUUCCUCCCCCACCCCCAAAACCGCCUGCGAGUGUUCCUCCCCCUCCUCCUCCUCCUCCAGUUCCAACAGCCACCAUCAACCCUCUUCCUCCAGCUCCUACACCUAAACCCACAGCAUCUGUAAAACUCCCAGCUCCAGACAACGAUGUCAAAAUAAAGAAUCAGGAACAGACAAAAGCUCAAGGGGCUCCCACGCAGCUACCGUCUACUCUUUCAGCCAGUCAAGCCACACUUCUUAGCAUCUUACAGAAGAAGAUGUUGGAAAUGGAUCACAGAAUGGACCCAAUGAAGGAGACAGAGGCCGGUGGUGAUGACUGGAAUAGCCCCCUGUCUGACGAGGAGACGAAGGUCCCCGUCGUCCCCAAAGCUGCACCGCAGAGCAACGCUCCCUCUGUGGCCAACAAACCAGCAACUCUGAACAUGCAGGAGCUCAAGAGCAAAGUUGCCAAAAAGAAACAGCCAACAUCGCCGUUGAACACUCCCACAAGUAACGGACCAUCAAAGUAUCCGUAUGGUAUGACUUUCACCAUCCGGCCUGGAACCAAACAGCCCAUAACUCCCUUUAUUAAAGGGGAAUCAAAUUAA